This is a long non-coding RNA of Anguilla anguilla (European eel), 728 nucleotides long. RefSeq lists it as uncharacterized. The transcript is spliced from 4 exons. Lineage: Eukaryota; Metazoa; Chordata; Actinopteri; Anguilliformes; Anguillidae. The record is from RefSeq and is a predicted model, not a curated record.
CAUACGCGCAAUCUGCGUUCUCUUUCCUUCCUUGUCUUGAAGCGUGCUGAGACAACGUUGUUUCGUCAACUUGGGCUCUAAAGUAACCUCGUCUUCCGCCUAAACGAAAAACAAUGCAUCGUUUAACGCGUACCGUUGAGGAAACUGAAGAAAGUAGUAGACUAUAUCGACAUAAUCUUCAGAAACCUCCAUGAUAUUUGGAUAGCGCGGUGCAAGCUAAACUCAGCUGUUGGACAAAGUGAUGUCUGGGCUGGCCGACUGGACCGCAUGGCAACGGGACCGUCGUCCAUAUCGCAAAACUGGGGUUUUGUCACUGGGAUUCCGAGUUUCCAGGAUCAGGAAUGAACGCAGCUGAAGGCCCUCGAAUGUGGAGAAGGAUCUGCCUUUGUUUCUGCAUUUAAAGAAAUGCGCCUGCUUGAAUUCAUGUGUAACUUCUGUUAACGGAAUUAAUAAAUAUCUGUCUGUUAACUGUCUGUUUGAAUGAGAGAUCUCUUGAAAGUGCUGUGUCCCCAAAUCUGUUUAUGAAACGUUUUUGUACAAAGCAUGGUUCACUGCAAAUGUCUAGGUGUGAAGAAAGCUAUUGAAUCAUCACACAGUUUUCUGUAUUUGUCAGAGUAUAUGGUCAAUUGCUAAUGAAUUGGCCUAUGUAUACUAAGGGACAAAUUGAUAAUACUCGGGUGUUCUUGUCACAUUGUGUACAAGUAAAAAUAAAGUGGAAUGUAAACACA